RNAcentral lists this ribosomal RNA (350 nucleotides) under uncultured bacterium. Its description in RNAcentral is "bacterial SSU rRNA". It matches the Rfam family "Bacterial small subunit ribosomal RNA", at positions 28 to 380 of the family's 1533-position model. The record is from RNAcentral.
GACGAACGCUGGCGGCAUGCCUUACACAUGCAAGUCGAACGGCAGCACGGGGGCAACCCUGGUGGCGAGUGGCGAACGGGUGAGUAACACAUCGGAACGUGCCCAGUAGUGGGGGAUAGCUCGGCGAAAGCCGGAUUAAUACCGCAUACGACCUACGGGUGAAAGCGGGGGAUCGCAAGACCUUGCGCUAUUGGAGCGGCCGAUGUCAGAUUAGGUUGUUGGUGGGGUAAAGGCCUACCAAGCCGACGAUCUGUAGCUGGUCUGAGAGGACGACCAGCCACACUGGGACUGAGACACGGCCCAGACUCCUACGGGAGGCAGCAGUGGGGAAUUUUGGACAAUGGGCGCAA